This 1818-nucleotide long non-coding RNA is filed under the name Nicotiana benthamiana. RNAcentral's name for it is "long non-coding RNA (NBEN_LNC013675)". Lineage: Eukaryota; Viridiplantae; Streptophyta; Magnoliopsida; Solanales; Solanaceae. The record is from RNAcentral.
GAGUAAACGCAGCCCUCACAUGAAGCUAUGGUGGCAAAUUCAGUCCACUGGUGACUUAACCGGUGAAACCAAAAGGAUGGGAUUAAUUAAUCUUAAUCUGUACGAUGAAUUAACUGUACAGUGUCUCACAUACAAGAAUCACAUCACAGGAGGAAGGAUAAAGAAACGAAACUACACUGUGCUGACAAAAGGAUCAGCAAAAGGAAUUACAGCCCUUGCCACCUUUAAUUUUGUAGUUGGUUAGGGCAUAGAGCAUUUUCUGAAUUUUGUUGUAUUGACAACUGCAAAUCAUGAUUCCUUCUAUUAAUGAUAAUUAUCCUUUUUCAAUGAAUCACCCAAGAAACUGCAGACUUCAAGCAAAAAGUUAGUGAAGAUCCAAGACCCAAGUCUCAAAAUCUGCAACGAGGUAAUGAUUCUCAGCAAUCAGUAUGCCAUAUCACAUAAUGUUUAAACAGCAACAUACUUUCUGACUAGAUUGUUUUAAGUUUUAUUGUAACAAAGAGGGGAAAAUCUAUCGGAAACAGCCUCUCUACCUUCAAGGUGGGUGUACGGUCUAUUACAUAUACACUACCCUCCCCAUACCACAUUUGUGGAAUUAUACUGGGUUUUUUUUUUUUUUUGUAGUAUUACAAAGAAGGUAAAAACGACUAAAGGAUGUCAUUUUCAUUUUCUAGUUACAGUUAGUCAGAUAGGGUUCUUGUUGCAUGUUUCAGCAAACUUAACCACCAAAAACUGGCAUGCCUACGUAAUUCAUAGGCCAAUUUCAAUAAAUUUGAACUACCCAACAACAAUCUUCAGACAAGGAACCAUGACCAGGUAAAAAAUAAACAACAAAAACAAGGAAAUAAGCUAACCUGAAAUGCUUCAAACUGUCCUCUCUUCCCUUUGAUCUCUCCUGGGAAACAUCCUUUAUAGUCCUUGCCAUCGAGUAAUAAAUCCCACUUUUUAUUCAUUAAUCCAGCUGCUAAGUAAAAAAGAGAAUGAUCAUUAUUAUUAUUGUGCGUUAAGCCACACAGACGCUUAUAUAUAAGCUUAUCGCCAAACUUAUAAGUUUAUAUAUUGGUAGAUAAAGAAAACUGCAUCUUAUAGUCAAGGCUUCAAAGGUUGACAGAAAAUUUGCACGGACUCUUUAAUUAAUUUAAACUAGUAAAUAUAUAUAUAUAAAAUAAUUUACUUAGUAUAAUCAUUCCUAAUAUCAAAAAACAGGAUACUCUUACACCAAAAAAUGUAGCAGAUUAAGAGUAACAAAAUAUGCAUACAUCGUUGAUGAUAGUAUAUGCAUCAAGCUAGUAUUUGACUCCCUAAAUAUUGUCACUUGUGCGACAUUUGUUCUUCUCUUCACCAUUCUUAAUUAACAGCCAAACGAUAUAAAUGAAAGAACCUUCUAGAGAGGAAAAAGAUCAUUUUAAAGAGAUAGCUUCUAAUAAAAAAGAGAGAGUGAAGAUGAAUGAUUAAGAGAAGAGAGUUAUGUGAUGAAGAAGAAAUGGCUUAUUAUUUAUAGUAACCAAAAAGAAGUAAUCAAUAAAAUUGUUAACUUAAGUUGGUAAUAGGAAUAGAUUGUAACGUACACUGAACCGUUAUUGUAGUAUACUAAGCAUUAUGAUUAAUUGCAUAUAUUACAACUUUAAUUAUAGCCGUUUCGCUUUCCUUGGAAAAGAAGAAAAUAUACAUUUAAUAGAAAAGCAAGAGGAAAAAGGCAAAAAAUUGAGAAAAAAGAUAAUGUUAUGAAAUCUCCUAUUUAAGGUGAAUGUCUAUAAUUAGAGAGAUUCUAGAGUUCUAUUCUUGGUAGAUAAAUCAUCCCCCUCCCUAUAAAUAANN